Long non-coding RNA from Neopelma chrysocephalum (saffron-crested tyrant-manakin), 629 nucleotides. RefSeq lists it as uncharacterized. NCBI's taxonomy places the organism in Eukaryota, Metazoa, Chordata, Aves, Passeriformes, Pipridae. The transcript is spliced from 3 exons. The record is from RefSeq and is a predicted model, not a curated record.
CCACGCAAAGGCCAGCAGUUACUACAGGAGGAGCGCUGGGGAUGUGACAGACCUGAGACAGGGGGAUGUGUCCCAGCUGGCUGCGCUUGGCACGACUCAGAAAACUGAGCUGAUGUCUCCUUUCCCGCACCCAAACCUCACCGCUUGCAGGUUUCUAGUGGGUUUUUUGACAUUCCCUGCUGGCAGAGGGGGAUGGAGAGAGGAGACUGAGCCUGAGCACCUUCAUCAACAGAGAAAUCUCCAUCAAACAUCACAAGGGACACAAGCAGGAUGUUGACACCUCAUGACUUGUACCCAUGGAUGAAGGGGAUGGUGAGCACUAAGAAAAUGCAAAUGCAGCUGAGGAUUAGCAAAAGGAAUUAUGAAAAACAAGUAGUGGAAAUAAUGAUUCAUCAAGAAUUGAAUCUGAUGUUGAGCCCAGUCCUGCACUCAGUGGGCAGCUCAGGACCCUGGAAAACACAUCCUUCUCACCCCAUGGAUACUCCUCUCCCCACUAAAACUUUGAGUCAAAAAGAAACACUGCAUAACACUGAAGCCAGAUAGGAAGAUCUGUGUGAAAGUUUGCAUCAAGCCAGAGGCCAGACUGAGUGAAUGGUUCAGUAUCUCUGAACCAAAAUACCAUAAAUAUA